RNAcentral lists this ribosomal RNA (497 nucleotides) under uncultured bacterium. Its description in RNAcentral is "partial 16S ribosomal RNA". It matches the Rfam family "Bacterial small subunit ribosomal RNA", at positions 28 to 507 of the family's 1533-position model. The record is from RNAcentral.
GAUGAACGCUGGCGGCGUGCCUAAUACAUGCAAGUCGAGCGAACAGACGAGGAGCUUGCUCCUCUGACGUUAGCGGCGGACGGGUGAGUAACACGUGGAUAACCUACCUAUAAGACUGGGAUAACUUCGGGAAACCGGAGCUAAUACCGGAUAAUAUCUUGAACCGCAUGGUUCAAUAGUGAAAGACGGUUUUGCUGUCACUUAUAGAUGGAUCCGCGCCGCAUUAGCUAGUUGGUAAGGUAACGGCUUACCAAGGCAACGAUGCGUAGCCGACCUGAGAGGGUGAUCGGCCACACUGGAACUGAGACACGGUCCAGACUCCUACGGGAGGCAGCAGUAGGGAAUCUUCCGCAAUGGGCGAAAGCCUGACGGAGCAACGCCGCGUGAGUGAUGAAGGUCUUCGGAUCGUAAAACUCUGUUAUUAGGGAAGAACAAAUGUGUAAGUAACUAUGCACGUCUUGACGGUACCUAAUCAGAAAGCCACGGCUAACUACGUG